UGCCAGACUCCUACGGGAGGCAGCAGUAGGGAAUUUUGCGCAAUGGGCGAAAGCCUGACGCAGCAACGCCGCGUGAUCGAGACGCCCUUCGGGGUGUAAAGAUCUGUCAGUGGGGACGAAACUUGACGGUACCCACAGAGGAAGCACCGGCUAACUACGUGCCAGCAGCCGCGGUAAUACGUAGGGUGCGAGCGUUAAUCGGAAUUACUGGGCGUAAAGGGUGUGCAGGCGGCUGAGUAAGACAGAUGUGAAAUCCCCGGGCUUAACCUGGGAACCGCAUAUGUGACUGCUUGGCUAGAGUGCGUCAGAGGGAGGUGGAAUUCCACGUGUAGCAGUGAAAUGCGUAGAUAUGUGGAAGAACACCGAUGGCGAAGGCAGCCUCCUGGGACGCAACUGACGCUCAUACACGAAAGCGUGGGGAGCAAGCAGGAUUAGAUACCCUCGUAA
Molecule: ribosomal RNA, 447 nt
Filed under: uncultured bacterium
Lineage: Bacteria
Description: bacterial SSU rRNA
Rfam family: Bacterial small subunit ribosomal RNA
Source: RNAcentral